CCUGGUACCCAGGGAUAAGCAGGGCUUGGAUGAGGCCCUGGUGUCUUGGAUGAGGAGGGCUGUCUGGACAGGAGAUCUUAUCUGCAGGAGCAGAGCAGGGAGGAGAAUUUGCAGUUGGGCCAUUUCAACAUUUCCCGUUUCACCAGAUGUCAAGACAGCACAGAUACCGGACCUUCACCUCAGGCCUUACGUCACACCAGGCCAGGGCUCAUCAGGUCUUAAAGAAACCCAAACGGGGACUUCUGGAUGAUGCAUUAUGGGUGGCUUUGAAGGCAAGACUGCUUGGAACUCAGAUCAGCAGACCCCGGCUCAAAGAAAGGGUCUUGGCUCGACAUCAAAAGAGUGGCAAGUCCGCGAACAUCCAUAUGUUCCAAGUUAAAAUUAAAUCUUUAAGGAUGAGAUGGAGUUGCUUGAACCCCACUGAGCACCCACCUUCACAGCAGGUCCCAAGAAGCAGCCUGGGGUGGGGAGUCACACCACUGCCCGACUGCUGCCCAUCCAGUGCUGCCUUUGCCCCAGGACCUGACCUGGCUCCAUGACCAGCCUCUCCUAUCUGCAUGGAUGUGUGGGGCAUCCUACCUCGACUGCUCCGUUUUCUGGGCUGCAGGAACCCAGGGCCAGGCUUGAACUCCGUCUAUAAUGGAGAUGGGGGUGGAAGCUAACAUGUCUGGUUUCUGUUGAGGGAAGUAGGUUCCAUGAAGCCAAGAAUUUCUCAAACACAGUAUGACUACUCCCAAGUGCCCAGCAGACAGGAACAUGGCCAGGGCUGAGGAGAGGCUGGACCAGGCCAUGAUGCAGCCAGUAAUGAAGGAGCACACAGCAUAAAUACAAGCUGGCCCGCAUUUGGGUGACAUCCUUUUAAAGAUGAAAAGACUACCUUAGUAGAAAAUGGCAUUCUUUUCCUUAGUUACUUGAAAGGGAAACACUUAUUCCCCUUUACUUUUCCUUAGUUUUUAUUUGGCCUUAUGGAAAUUCAUUCAUGCUUCAUCAUGGAAUCCCUGGUGUCCAGUAAAAUUCUCAGCACAUACUAGAUGCUUGACAGACAUUUAUUGGAUUGAUGGAUUGAUGUUCGUAGCGGCAUUGAUGGAGCUGGCAGAGCCUAUCCCAACAGAGUUCCAGAGCUGUCUGUCCUGGGGGCUGGGCAUGGGCUGCUGUGUCCCCACGGGCAGACAAACCUCACUGUGUACAGGUUCAGAACUCUCAUCUCCCAUAUUAGCCCCAGCCUCUUCCUGCCUGGUCCCCAAGGCCCAAAAGAUUGUAAUAGCUUCCUGCUGGCCCCUCAGCUUCUAGCCUCUCCCUACCUCCCUUCCUCCCCUCUUCUAAGAUACACAAUAUUUCUGUCCUAAAAUCCUUGUUCUCCAUCACCUGCAGGAAAGAACCCCAAAUCCACAGUUUUUUCUUAACAGUCCUUUCAGAAUUCAUCAUAAGAUGUAUUCCAAGCUUUAGGUGAGCCAUGGUGGCACACAUCUGUAAUCCCAGCAGCUCAGGAGGCUGAGGCAGGAGGACUGCAAGUUCAAAGACA
Non-coding RNA from Marmota flaviventris (yellow-bellied marmot), 1522 nucleotides. The record is from RefSeq and is a predicted model, not a curated record. Lineage: Eukaryota; Metazoa; Chordata; Mammalia; Rodentia; Sciuridae.